CCCUUUUCCGGUUGAUCCUGCCGGAGGCCACUGCUAUAGGGGUUCGAUUAAGCCAUGCGAGUCGAGAGGUGCAAGACCUCGGCAUACUGCUCAGUAACACGUGGACAACCUACCCUGAGGAGGGGGAUAACCCCGGAAAACUGGGGAUAAUACCCCAUAGGCCAGGGAUGCUGGAAUGCCUCCUGGUUGAAAGGUCCGCCGCCUCAGGAUGGGUCUGCGGCCGAUUAGGUUGUUGUUGGGGCAACGGCCCAACAAGCCAUUGAUCGGUACGGGUUGUGGGAGCAAGAGCCCGGAGAUGGAUUCUGAGACACGAAUCCAGGCCCUACGGGGCGCAGCAGGCGCGAAAACUUUACAAUGCGAGAAAUCGUGAUAAGGGAACCCCGAGUGCCCGUAAAUUCGGGCUGUCCAUCAGUGUAAAAAACUAUGAAKAAAGGGCCGGGCAAGACCGGUGCCAGCCGCCGCGGUAAUACCGGCGGCUCGAGUGGUGGCCGCUAUUAUUCGCUUAAAGCGUCCGUAGCUGGGUUGUUAAGUCUCCUGGGAAAUCCACCGGCUCAACCGGGUGCCCGUUCGGGAGAAACUGGCAACCUAGGGACCGGGAGAGGUGAGAGGUACUCCAGGGGUAGGAGUGAAAUCCUGUAAUCCUUGGGGGACCACCUGUGGCGAAGGCGUCUCACUAGAACGGCUCCGACAGUGAGGGACGAAAGCUGGGGGAGCAAACCGGAUUAGAUACCCGGGUAGUCCCAGCUGUAAACGAUGCGCGUUAGGUGUAUCGGUGACCACGAGUCACCGAGGUGCCGAAGGGAAACCGUGAAACGUGCCGCCUGGGAAGUACGGUCGCAAGGCUGAAACUUAAAGGAAUUGGCGGGAAGGGC
This 872-nucleotide ribosomal RNA is filed under the name uncultured methanogenic archaeon. Its description in RNAcentral is "bacterial SSU rRNA". It matches the Rfam family "Archaeal small subunit ribosomal RNA", at positions 1 to 878 of the family's 1478-position model. Lineage: Archaea; Methanobacteriati; Methanobacteriota. The record is from RNAcentral.